Molecule: ribosomal RNA, 497 nt
Filed under: uncultured bacterium
Lineage: Bacteria
Description: partial 16S ribosomal RNA
Rfam family: Bacterial small subunit ribosomal RNA
Source: RNAcentral
GAUGAACGCUGGCGGCGUGCCUAAUACAUGCAAGUCGAGCGAACAGACGAGAAGCUUGCUCCUCUGAUGUUAGCGGCGGACGGGUGAGUAACACGUGGAUAACCUACCUAUAAGACUGGGAUAACUUCGGGAAACCGGAGCUAAUACCGUAUAACAUCUUGAACCGCAUGGUUCAACCGUGAAAGACGGUCUUGCUUUCACUUAUAGAUGGAUCCGCGCCGCAUUAGCUAGUUGGUAAGGUAACGGCUUACCACGGCAACGAUGCGUAGCCGACCUGAGAGAGUGAUCGCCCACACGGGAGGAGAGACACGGUCAAGACUACUGCGGGACGCAGCAGAAGCGAAUCUUCCGCAAUAGGCGAGAGCCUGACAGAGCAAAGUCGCGUGAGUGAAGAAGGUCCUCGGAUCGUAAAACUCUGCUAUUAGGGAAGAACAAAUGUCUAAGUAACUAUGCACGUCUUGACGGUACCUAAUAAGAAAGCCACGGCUAACUACGUG